Long non-coding RNA from Dermacentor albipictus, 1397 nucleotides. RefSeq lists it as uncharacterized. The record is from RefSeq and is a predicted model, not a curated record. NCBI's taxonomy places the organism in Eukaryota, Metazoa, Arthropoda, Arachnida, Ixodida, Ixodidae.
CUUAUGACAGUAUGCUUCAUAUGCAUCAUUUCUUCGCUCCUCAGGUGUUGCUGAUCCUGGCGAUUGUUUCACCGUCUGCGCCCCUGCAUAUCUACCCUCAGGCUGGCGCUUGCGCGGUUGCUGAUCAUGGCCAAUGUGUUUUCAUCGACAGCACACGUGCUGAGACCUACGAGCCGCCUUCACACAGUUGGCUGGUGGACAGGAAGCUCGUCGCUUCUGGGACGACUACACCGGAAGAAACGCCCAUGCCCGGCUUCUUCAAAAGCAACGCGCGGAUGGUCUACCACUUUAGUGGGCAGUGGAGCAGCGCUUAUGACAGUAUGCUUCAUAUGCAUCAUUUCUUCGCUCCUCAGUUCUAAUUCAGCUGUGAGUGCAGAAGUCUUUGCCACAUGUACCUAAGCUGUUCCCUCGAGCUUGAACCAGACUGCAGCUGCAGUGAAUGCAUGCAGCAAUGGCAGUGUGAGCUGCGCCAAGGCAUAUUGGAGCCGGCUUGGUGAGCAUGGCUGCAUUGCUUCCAAGACUACUGCGGCCAGUCAGGCGAGCUGAGGUGCACAUUCUUAUUAGUCGGUCGGGUUUCCCCAAGACUAUUAAAGAAAAUGUGCGUAUAAAAAUAUAUUUAUUUCACUAAUGACUUUAUGCCGGCAUGAGAUCCGACAGACAUUGACAAAAAAAAGAAAAAGAAUGCACUGAAAGAAAGAGAAGAGAGAUAGAGCAAGUGUACUAAGUCCCAAGCAUGGUUAAAGGAAAUUGAUAUCUGUAUAUACAUAGGCACAGACAAGAGGAGAGAACGCAAGUUUUCCAGUUGCACCUCAACUUCAGGAAGGCAAGGAGCACUGGGCAUGAAUGUCUAGAAAAUAGAGCUCCGAUAUGCAACCAUAUACGCGACCCUGCGCUUCUAUGCAAUGCACAAUAGGUUUGCAAAGACCAAAUGAAGCGGUCAAAAAAGUUCAAAGGAAGCAGAGACCCCACCUCAGAAAAGCAGCAGACGAGAAAUUCAUUUAGCUCACACAAAACUAAUUCGGAACAAAAACGAGGCUGGGCAAUAUAACGAUACUUUUGACAGUAAGAAUAAUCUCCUCGCAAUUCUCAAGACAAUGACAAGAUACAUAAAGCAAAUGUACUAUAUGUAUACACACACACGCACACACACACAUAUAUAUAUAUAUAUGUAUUUGUUCUGUGUUAUCUAAAGGCACUUGUCACAAAUGGCGCACCAAAAGAAAGGAAAAAAAAAUAGCACAGCUUAAGCACAUGGGGCUCCAAGUGCAGCAUUCUGCAAUAAAGGAAAUACACCCAAGCUUGGAAACGGCAAACAAGGCUCGCCAUUUUCACUGAAACUGAGCUGCAACUGGCAAAAGUUGCGUAUUAAGAACACAGCCUUCGUAGUUAAAAGAAAA